CCUACGGGAGGCAGCAGUAAGGAAUAUGGUCAAUGGACGCAAGUCUGAACCAGCCAUGCCGCGUGAAGGAUUAAGGUCCUCUGGAUUGUAAACUUCUUUUAUUUGGGACGAAAAAAGGGCCUUUCUAGGUCAACUGACGGUACCAGAUGAAUAAGCACCGGCUAACUCCGUGCCAGCAGCCGCGGUAAUACGGAGGGUGCAAGCGUUAUCCGGAUUCACUGGGUUUAAAGGGUGCGUAGGCGGGUAGGUAAGUCAGUGGUGAAAUCCUAGAGCUUAACUCUAGAACUGCCAUUGAUACUAUCUAUCUUGAAUAUUGUGGAGGUAAGCGGAAUAUGUCGUGUAGCGGUGAAAUGCUUAGAUAUGACAUAGAACACCUAUUGCGAAGGCAGCUUACUGCGCAUAUAUUAGUACGCUGAGGCGACGAAAGACGGUGGGGUAGUACAAACAAGGAGUUAGUAUACCCUACGGUAGUACCGACCGACCCUAACCUACUAGUAUACUCGACAUUGUUGUAUACACAAUAAGUAGUCUG
RNAcentral lists this ribosomal RNA (532 nucleotides) under uncultured bacterium. RNAcentral's name for it is "bacterial SSU rRNA". It matches the Rfam family "Bacterial small subunit ribosomal RNA", at positions 338 to 871 of the family's 1533-position model. The record is from RNAcentral.